UUUAAUUCAUUUAAUUAUUUCACUCAAUUGCUUGAUACCUCUUGUUCCCUUCACCCAUUAGAUUUUAGACAAUUUUUACAUCCAUUACAUGCACCAAUUGAUGCUCCAUCAUUCGCAUUUGGAAUCCAAUGGCAUGUGUCACACAUGUUGUUGCACCUUUGACCCAUUUGUUGACACAUUUCACCUCCCUUUCCAUCUCUAUGUAAUGUACACAAUCAUUCAUGCUCCCUAGUUGCAACACCACUCCAUUUUACCCUUCACACUUUGCAUCAUCACUUCAUUUUCACCCUUGGACCAUUGC
This 301-nucleotide long non-coding RNA is filed under the name Malus domestica (apple). RNAcentral describes it as "long non-coding RNA (MDOM_LNC017445)". The record is from RNAcentral. Lineage: Eukaryota; Viridiplantae; Streptophyta; Magnoliopsida; Rosales; Rosaceae.